CACCGCCCGUCACACCAUGAGAGUCGAAGACGCCCGAAGCCAGCGUGCUAACCCGCAAGGGAGGCAGCUGUCGAAGGUGGGGUCGGCGAUUGGGGUG
This 97-nucleotide ribosomal RNA is filed under the name uncultured bacterium. RNAcentral describes it as "partial 16S ribosomal RNA". It matches the Rfam family "Bacterial small subunit ribosomal RNA", at positions 1388 to 1482 of the family's 1533-position model. The record is from RNAcentral.